This 548-nucleotide long non-coding RNA is filed under the name Macaca mulatta (Rhesus monkey). RNAcentral describes it as "lncRNA (ENSMMUG00000058165.1)". Lineage: Eukaryota; Metazoa; Chordata; Mammalia; Primates; Cercopithecidae. The record is from RNAcentral.
CAGAAAACCCUUCAGCUCCCCAGGCAUUUGCUGAACCCCUGGCUGCUGGCAGUAUGGGAUUUCAGGCAACCGCGGAGACUGCUCCCCUCCAGGAGAAGAAUGUGGAAUCCGCAGAGCUGGGUUAAGGCACAUCCGCUGCCAAACUGUCUCCAGCAUGUGUAAUCCCUGCUUUUCGGCACCACCCAAGAUGUACUAAUGCUCUUUGUAAAGACUCACUCCCGUGGCCUGUGGGGUUCGGCCUUGAAAGAGGGGGUGGGAGAGGAAAGGAAAGAGAAGGGGAAAGGACUCAUUUGGAAGCAGUGCAUUUUUAUCAGAGGGACUGAAAAGCCUUUCGAGAAUCAGUCAAGAAAAAGGAAUGUGCAUGAGAGUCACGGUGAGUAGCACUUCUCAUCAAACUAGCUGCCCAGGGGUGUUAAAGUGCUUUCUAAAAAGGGAACUAACAGGGCUGCUCACCAUUUACUGUUUUCUAAGAGCCUUAGCUAAAUUAAUCAUAGCACACACCAGCCCUGUAAGGUAAAAUGAUUCCUGGUGUUUUGAAAGCAAUCAGC